Molecule: long non-coding RNA, 2417 nt
Filed under: Capsicum annuum
Lineage: Eukaryota; Viridiplantae; Streptophyta; Magnoliopsida; Solanales; Solanaceae
Description: long non-coding RNA (CANN_LNC011879)
Source: RNAcentral
AAACAUCCGUCUCUCUCCCUAUCUUCUCUCUCUUCCAUCUCUCUCUCUAAAACCAAAACAACCGAUACCGCCUUCACUGGCGACCACCGUUAAGCUAUUUUUCUCCUCCCCUGCACAAAAGCCAUGCAGCUGCCACAACCAUCAACACCAGCCGUCGCCGUCAGCGAACUCAACAACUUUGUCCAAUCACCACGGUUCAGGCGCUGGCGAUCCGCUGCUUCUUCCCCUAUGUCUGUCGCCUCCUUUCCCAACACCACCAACAGUGGCAACAAUAACAGCCACCGUCCCUCCAUUAUCCUUUUCAACUAUCCCCGCCGUCCACCAAUCAUAAAUGUAGAUGACGAGCAAAGUAUGACUUGAAUGUCUGGCAUCUUUACUGGCCCUGAGUUGACGAGCAGGUUUGCGUACUUUCAGCUUAGAUGCAUUUUUGGUAGACAAAUUCUUUUCGGGAGAUAUGUUCUUAGUUAUGCGCUUCUCCAGUGGAUUGUAAGUUAGAAGAAGCAUCGCCAGGCUCUCUAUGUUUUAGACCAGGCUGUGUGGCCUUCGUACCACUUGUCACAAGGUAAACUAUUUCUAUCUCCAUCUCCUUUAUAUUUUCAUGUAAUUCUAUUUGAUAUUGUUUGUUCAUGUGUUGGUUUUACGCUUGGAUCGAUUUAGUUAUGUGUAUGGUCAAAAACCUAUGUUUUGUCAUGGCAAGAAUAAUUUUACUCAGGGCAGCAACACUACAUGUGUUCACUUAUUAGGAUGCAUUAGUGCUGCGCUAUUUUUUCUUUUAAAAAAUUAUUUUUCCUUUAUAGUUUUCUUUUUGUCACUAUUUUAUUCUAUUGUGGUACAAAUAAGAAAAAUAAAGUUUAUUUUUUCUUAUAUUUGUUGAUGUAUUGUUCUUCCUCCCAGUGUUACUCACCUCUUUCUCAACUCCUAACUUGAUCUAUAAUUAUUUUCAUGGACAUCAUUAAUUAUCUGUCAUGUUGCAUAUAGGCCUGUUUUGCUAAAACGAAAUUAUACUAUUCGUGUAAGAUCUAGCUAUCUGUAACCAUUAAUAUCCAAAAUUAAAUGUGAGAGGAUGGAAGAGUUAAUGCCUUGCUCUACUAUAGAUCUUUAUUUAGGUUGUCAAGAGGUAAAAUCAUCCAUCAGUAGAUACAAAAGUUCUUAUAACUGUGUAUGGUCAACGGAAUGUCACACCACAUUUAAUGAUCUUAUAACUGUGAUAAGACUUGACAAACCUCCUUCCUUUUAAGAUAGCUUUUGGAUUGUGAUUUGGCCCUAAGCUAUAAGAGUGAGACACGUUAGGUACGAUGUGACACUCCCAUAUCGUGUAAAGCAGAGUGCAACUAAUAUGAACUUUGUAGUUUCAAUUGCUUUGCAUAUGGAAGUAUAUUCGCAUCGCACCUGUGUUUUUUUUACUUCUUCAAUCCUAGAUUGUAUUACUAUUUGUUAUAAGAUCAUAACUUAAGUUUUGAUAGAAUAUGCAUUUUGGUGAAUGGAAUGUCCCCGUUAUUGAAUGGGUAGAAUCUUGGACUCCUUGUAAGGCCUGAGCAAUGUCUUUCAUUUGAGCUACCUUUUGGGGUGUGAGUUAAGUUUAAAGCCUAAUUUGAAAUGUUAUUAGAGGUAGGCCUGCUAUGGUCCCUUACAUUUGGGGAGUGAGUGAAAUCUUGAGAUCCUUAAAGGUGAACUUUUAUUUUGAAUUUAGUUUAGUUUGGUAACUUAUGAAGUGAAUUAUUGACUUGAAAUGUUUAAGUGUAGGUACUUGAAAGGUGAACUUUUGUUUUAAAUUUAGUAAGGUACAUGGUCACUUUAGAAAUGAAUUAGUGGCUUCGAUUUGUUUAAGUGUAGGUACUUCAAAUGUGAACUUGUGUUUUGAAUUUAGUUUAGUUUGGUAACUUGUGAAGUGAAUUAGCGACUUGAAAAUGUUUAAGUGUAGGUAUUUUGAAAUGUGAUCUUUUAUUUUGAAUUUAGUUUAGGUUGGUAACUUGUGAAGUGAAUUAGCGACUUGAAGUGAAAACAGGAAAAGUAUAGUGACUUGAAAAUUGUUGAAGUGUAGUUACUUGAAAUGUGAAUUAAUUAUUUGAAAAUGGUUAAGUGUAGUGAUUUGAAAUAUGUACUGGUGAAUUGAAAAUGAUUAAGUGUAGUGACUUGCAAUGUGAAUUAGUUACUUGAAAAUGGUUUUUGUAGUGACUUGAAAUGUGAACUAGUGACUUGAAAAUGGUUAAGUAUAGUUACUUGAAAAUGCUAAUAUAUACAUAUUUAUAUUUGUUGAUUGUUAUGAUUUUAUUUGAUACUAUAAUAUCAUAUAAUUUAUGCUAAUAAUGUAUUUUUAGCACUUUUUAUGACCUUGAAUUAACAUAUUCUUAUCCAGAAUGAGUUUGAAAGAAGAAACAAGAAAUAUUAGCUGCUCAAAGUGCAUCAAUUUUGGAAGC